GAGAAUCUUCCAGUGGAUCGCUCUGUACAGAACAUUCAACAUAUAUUUGGUGAAGCUGGGAAUUUGCAUUAUGCUAAUUAUACAAAAUUUCAGAAUAAAGAAUAUCUGCAUUUAUGAUUCACAUGCUGUGGAAGAUUCAGAAAAAGGAAGCAAACCCGAUAUUCUGAUCUGUAGCAAGGUAUGAAACUUAUCAAGUUACAUGCUUCUUUAUUUUUAAAAUUUUUUUUACGAUGAUUCUUUGGAGGCCAAACCUUAACUGAACCAAAAACAAAUUGCAUUAAAUGAAUGCGUACUUUGUUAUUUGGUUUAUGUUCAGACAGCAUUGGAUGAUCUUCUGGCUAAAUUACUUUCAUACAGCAGAUACCAUUAGAUGGAAUGGAUCAGUGUUCUCUUUUUUUAGGUGAUUCUGAAUUUAAGCUCACAGUAUGUGAUCAUCUUGUAUUAAUCAUGCAAAUUUUAAGAGGUUUUAACCUGUUUGAGAUGUGUGACCCUCUUGGAUCUGGAUAUGUGGACAGUCCCCCUUUUUG
This 527-nucleotide unclassified non-coding RNA is filed under the name Hevea brasiliensis (rubber tree). The record is from RNAcentral. Lineage: Eukaryota; Viridiplantae; Streptophyta; Magnoliopsida; Malpighiales; Euphorbiaceae.